Molecule: transfer RNA, 70 nt
Filed under: Mycoplasmopsis bovis
Lineage: Bacteria; Bacillati; Mycoplasmatota; Mycoplasmoidales; Metamycoplasmataceae
Description: Mycoplasma bovis tRNA-OTHER
Rfam family: tRNA
About the family: Transfer RNA (tRNA) molecules are approximately 80 nucleotides in length. Their secondary structure includes four short double-helical elements and three loops (D, anti-codon, and T loops).
Source: RNAcentral
GCCAGUUUCGCUUAGUGGUAAAGCAGUGACUCGUAACCAGCCACGAGUUCGAUCCUCGUAACUGGCACCA